ACACCUUCAAGCGCAGCUUGGUGUUGGGCGUCUGUCCCCUGGGACUCGCCUCAAAAGGAUUGGCGGCCACUUCAGCGGCUUAGAGCGCAGCAGAAUUGCGUCCUCUAGCGGCGGGAGGCGGCAUCCAGAAGCUUUCUUAUUAUU
RNAcentral lists this unclassified non-coding RNA (144 nucleotides) under uncultured Lophiostoma. Its description in RNAcentral is "sequence contains ITS2". Lineage: Eukaryota; Fungi; Ascomycota; Dothideomycetes; Pleosporales; Lophiostomataceae. The record is from RNAcentral.